RNAcentral lists this ribosomal RNA (425 nucleotides) under uncultured bacterium. RNAcentral describes it as "partial 16S ribosomal RNA". It matches the Rfam family "Bacterial small subunit ribosomal RNA", at positions 354 to 796 of the family's 1533-position model. The record is from RNAcentral.
GUGGGGAAUAUUGCACAAUGGGGGAAACCCUGAUGCAGCAACGCCGCGUGAGUGAUGAAGGUCUUCGGAUUGUAAAACUCUGUCUUUGGGGACGAUAAUGACGGUACCCAAGGAGGAAGCCACGGCUAACUACGUGCCAGCAGCCGCGGUAAUACGUAGGUGGCAAGCGUUGUCCGGAUUUACUGGGCGUAAAGGGAGCGUAGGCGGAUUUUUAAGUGGGAUGUGAAAUACCCGGGCUUAACCUGGGUGCUGCAUUCCAAACUGGAAGUCUAGAGUACAGGAGGGGAAAGUGGAAUUCCUAGUGUAGCGGUGAAAUGCGUAGAGAUUAGGAAGAACACCGGUGGCGAAGGCGACUUUCUGGACUGUAACUGACGCUGAGGCUCGAAAGCGUGGGGAGCAAACAGGAUUAGAAACCCUAGUAGUCC